This is a long non-coding RNA of Oenanthe melanoleuca, 1045 nucleotides long. RefSeq lists it as uncharacterized. Lineage: Eukaryota; Metazoa; Chordata; Aves; Passeriformes; Muscicapidae. The transcript is spliced from 2 exons. The record is from RefSeq and is a predicted model, not a curated record.
CUGGUUCCACUGCAGGGGAUCUUCACAGAGUGCUGGCCCACCCCAGAACUGCUGUUUUUAUACAUUUUGUGGUGACAGAGCUGCCACAGACCAGCUGGCCAAGGCCAUGGAUCUGCCACAGCAAUUCCCAGCAGCUGGAAUGUCACUUCCCAGCAGCUGCUGGGGGCAGUGACCUCUCGUGAGCUCCCUCCCCUUUCCCUGGAACAUGAGCUGGCUCGUCCCAAAAACACCUCACACGGGACACACAGGUUGGGAUCCAGGGGGGUCCCACCCCUGCAGGGCUGUCUCUGGAGCCUGGAGAUGCAUCCACAGCCCUGGAACACCUGAACUGGGGAAGCUCAGGUUUUGCAAUGAGGCUCCUGAGUGAAAUACAGGUGGCCAAAGGAAAAAACUUUCACAAAAACAUUUUGGUCAAAUUUCUGCCCUCAGAGGAUCUGGACUAAAGAAACUGAUGGCAGCCCUGGUUUAACCUGAGCCCUGAAGGCACCUGUGAGCCCAGAUUUUGUGUUUUCAUUGUCAUACCACCAAGAGACCAGGGAAAAACCCCAAAUUCCUGUACUUCAAAGAGCAUUCACCUACCCAGGUCUCUCCCAGAAGGUGGCAAUGAAGAGCUAAUGCUGAAAUUCCCCUCCAGCAACCUUCUUCAGUGAAGAGUACAGAAAUUAUUCUGACAGCAGGGUUUUAUGGACUUUUCCCCUUAAUUAUACUGAUGUCUUUUGAUUCCCAGGGCUGAUAUGUGAGUGGAUGAUGUUUUCUGACAGGGCAGAGCCCCCCCUGCUCUGCAGUUUGCUGAGGAUUCCUCUGAUGGACAAGAAACCAGUCACUGCUCUCAAAAUUGUACUGACAGGACUCGAGGAAAUGGAAUGGAGCUGAGUUGGGGGAGCUUUAGGUUGGAUAUCAGGAAAAGUUCUUCACUCAGAGGGUGGCUGGGCACUGAACAGGCUCCCCAGAAAAAGACAGCUACUUAAAAUCCCAUUCCUGUAUAAUUUAAUUGGAAGAAUAUGUAUAUUUGCUGUAUAAUAUGGAAGAGCAUUUGUUUCGAUGA